GUAUGUUCUAUUCCAUAUGUGUCUCUGGGACAGGGUUUACAUUGCUUCCCAGAGUGCAAACCUGUAAAAAAGAGCACACUAACUCCAAGUGAAGAAGAGGAAAGUUUGUUUAGUAUCCUUUUACACCAGAGGUGGAGAACCCUCCUCCUGAGAACUACUGUUUUGUAUCCUUUUACACCAGAGGUGGACAACCCUCCUCCUGGAGAACUACUGUUUUGUAUCCUUUUACACCAGAGGUGGAGAACCCUCCUCCUGGAGAACUACUGUUUUGAAGCCUUUUAUACCAGAGGCGGAGAACCCUCCUCCUGGAGAACUACUGUUUUGAAGCCUUUUACAUCAGAGGUGGAGAACCCUCCUCUUGGAGAGCUACUGUGUAUGCAGGCUUUUGUUCCAGCCCUGCUCCAACACACACUCUACAUUUACAUUUUAACCUAGAACCGAGCUCUGGGAGACAGCAGUAGUGAGAGUACGUGGUGCUGACACAGAUCCUCUCCAUUCCACCUGGUUGGAGCAGUGCAAGAUUGUGCAGAGACUUAGACACCCAGCCCUGAGAGGGUGGAGAGGAGGAUCUGAUGGUCCACAGUGUCAAAUGCAAUAGAUAGAUCUAGGAGGAUGAGAACAGAGGAGUGAAAGAGUCAGCUUUGGCAGAGCGGAGAGCCUCCGUGACACAGAGAAGAGCAGUCUCGGUUGAGUGAACCAUCUUACUUCCAUUUUGAAGUCAGAAGGGGCGCAGCCAGUGGUCAGGGAUGAGUUGAUGAGGGAAGUGAGGAAUGGGAGAAGGUCUCCUGAUAUGGGC
RNAcentral lists this long non-coding RNA (796 nucleotides) under Salmo salar (Atlantic salmon). Its description in RNAcentral is "lncRNA (ENSSSAG00000115517.1)". Lineage: Eukaryota; Metazoa; Chordata; Actinopteri; Salmoniformes; Salmonidae. The record is from RNAcentral.